AUGUGUAUUUCUCCCAAGGGGAGUCCUUCACGGGCCCGCAAGGUGAGGCCCUCGCCCGGCCGCCCUGCCCGGCCGCCCGGUCCUCCCCACCCCAAGGUCAGGGGCUCGGCCGUCAAGUUCCUCUCCCACCCCAAGGUCAGGGGCAAGCGGCUAGGGUUUCGCCCGCGUCGCCUCCCACCUCCCGUCCCUGCCCAGGCCGCCAUGUUCCAGCUAGGCUCCGCCCCCGGGAAGGGCUUCUGGGCGCGGCACCGGUGGAAGAUGCUCCUCUCGCUGGGCGUCGCCGGCGCCGGCUACGCGGCCUACCGCUUCUACGAUGCGCACCAGAAGCAGCUCGUCCGGAGGAUCUCGGAUACAACCACGCUGCCAUUUGCUAUGCACUACCUACGUUCACGGAUAAUGGAGGAGCUGGAUACUUCGCACCUGAUCGAGAGGCUGCUGCAAGGGCGGAGCGGGCUGGAUGAUGCUGAAGUAGUCAUCUUCGUCGGCCCCGUCACUGCGUGUUGUGAUCUGGAGAAGCUCAACUUCAAGCCUUGGGGUCUUGCUGACAUUAGUUGUUUCAAGUUCAGACCUUUUUCACCGCUGACUAUACUCUCUCAAGUUCAGGUCACGGUGGAUGGUUUGGGAGGAGGGAGGCAGAGCAGAGACAAACGGCGCAUUCGGUCAUGCAUAUGCCUUACUCUCGCCCCUAGCGCCAUCGGCGCAACGGGUCAUCUAGUAUUAUCAAAAGGGAUAAAGUGA
This 738-nucleotide ribosomal RNA is filed under the name Triticum aestivum (bread wheat). Its description in RNAcentral is "partial small subunit ribosomal RNA". The record is from RNAcentral. Lineage: Eukaryota; Viridiplantae; Streptophyta; Magnoliopsida; Poales; Poaceae.